GCUGUCUUUCCCCUGACCCACACUAAUUGUAAAGUUGUGGGUGAACAUAUCAGACAACACAGCGAUUCUUCAAACAGCUCUUGUUUAUUCACAGGCCAGAACAGAACUGAACUGAAGGGUUCAGCCAGCCUGCUUAUAUAGAGCUCUACUACAACGCAACUGUAACAACUUCCUGUAACUAUCCAAUCACUGAACGUCACUUUCAAUCCCUUAUUUGCAUAUGUGGACCUGAGUGAAAACUAUCUACAGUAUUCCCCUGCUGGCCCAGGGUGAGAACUUCAGUACAUAACACUAAUGUUCAUGGCGCUUGUGGGCUCUGCCAUUGUCAGGGACUAGCUGGAUACUGCAGAGGGAGCACAGGGAGUUUGGCUUGGAAGAAGGGAUCAGUGAUCCGGGGAAACCUGGGACAGCUGGGAGAUGAGAGCCAGUGGCAGGAGACGCUGCAGGAUUGGAGAGUGAAGAACAGGUGCAGGAGGUGGGAGAGAGAGGUCAGGCAGUUGUAGAGUCAAGGGCUUCCACACCUCCUCCUGCCUCCACCUCUCCUGCUCCACUGUCUCCCAGGACCAGGAGAGGAUUGAAGUGAGAGAAGCAGAAGCCAGUUACAUGCAGGUGUAGUCUUUGCCUGCUUGUGCGCAGGUCGGAUGGGGAAGCCGAUAUUUGGGGUGGAGCCUCCCCGUUGAAGCAACUGCCUCAUCGGGUACACACCUAGACAUAGCCAAGAGAUAGAGGGCUGACAGACAUGCCAUCUCCAAACUUGUAGGUGUAUUUUUGACAAUAAUUAAUUCCUCACUGGACCUUCUUGCCUGACCGAGCUGCAACAGCCAUGUAUGUACCUGUUGGCUUGCGUAAGUAAUCUGAUGGUAUUCUUCAUCUAUACAAUGAGUAAAUAUAUUCUAGGGUGUAUGUGACUCUGAUCCACAUAGGUGGCGUGAUCUGUAGUCAGUAGAUUGUCUCAUUUCCUUGACCUACCUCAUCUGCAUGCUAUCUGAAAUGUACUCAGAGUCCUGUAGUGAUUUCAUGCUCUUUACUGCAGCUUGUAAAAGGGAUUGAAUUGCCCCCCAAACCUCAGGCUUUUAUGUACAUUAGUUACACAAUGAGUCCCGUCUGACUGGCUGAUUCUGCUUCCCUCCUGGAGCCUAACUGGUCUUUUCCUGCAGGCCAAUCAGUUGUUGCAUUUACGAUCCUACCAGCCUAAUAGGCUGAUUAACUUCUUCCUGGAGCCUGAUUGGUCUUCUCCUGCAAGCGAAUCAGUUGUUGCGUUCUACAAUCCUGCUUGCCUAUUGUUCUAGGAUCCAAGGUUAGUACAUAACAAUAUCAAACCUGUGGAAGUUCGUGUCAGGCCUUCACAAGUCUCAGCCACAAGAUGGUUAGGUUAUUGGACUAAGGAGAGCUAGCUUCCAGUCCCAAGUGGGCAAGAAGCAUCUGCACAGGCAAAACCAGUGUUUCAGGAAUCCGUGAUAAAAGGGCUGGAAGUGUGUAGUCAAAAGGGGGUCAUGUUCCAGAGCCUCAGUGAAAAAUCAGAGGGGUCAACAACUGGUGUGUAGUCAGGUUGUUUCCUAUAAACUUGACCUCAUCUAGAUUGCAAAUUUGCCAGUCCUAGCCCUCUGAAACUCUGCCCGACCCUGUUCUGACUUCAUUAAUGUGUCUUGUGUUGAACGAGCAAGUGUGCUGCAGUUUCUAGCUGCUUUCAGUUAGAAUAAUAAUAAUAAUAAUUGCUUCAUGGUACUUGAGCUCCACCUAACCAUGCUAUGAUUUUCCAGAUGACUCUGCACGUACAGUACUAGAAAAGAUGUGAAUGUUAGGCCCCACUUAUUAUCUGUGUGAAACAUGUUUAUUUUGAAGUAAGCUCAGCUAAAACCACCAUAGUGUAAGAGAACCCACUGCCCAAACAUUAUUACAUAAAAAAUAAAGUAAGUAAAUGCUUUUCCCUUUUGCUAUGCCUUCUAACAAGAUUCAGGUAGGUAGCUGUGUUGGUCUGAUGCAGUCGAAAUAAACACAAAAAAUAAAAAAUAAAAAAUUGUCCAGUAGCACCUUAGAGACCAACUAAGUUUGUUCUUAGUACUGUAUAAGCUUUCUUGUGCAUGCACACUUAUUCAGAUACCAUCUGCUGAAGUAUCUGAAGAAGUGUGCAUGCACACAAAAGCUUAUACCAAGAAGAAACUUAGUUGGUCUCUAAGGUACUACUGGAACGGGACGCGGGUGGCGCUGUGGGUAAAACCUCAGCGCCUAGGACUUGCCGAUCGCAUGGUCGGCGGUUCGAAUCCCCGCGGCGGGGUGUGCUCCCGUCGUUCGGUCCCAGCGCCUGCCAACCUAGCAGUUCGAAAGCACCCCCGGGUGCAAGUAGAUAAAUAGGGACUGCUUACCAGCGGGAAGGUAAACGGCGUUUCCGUGUGCUGCGCUGGCUCGCCAGAUGCAGCUUGUCACGCUGGCCACGUGACCCGGAAGUGUCUGCGGACAGCGCUGGCUCCCGGCCUAUAGAGUGAGAUGAGCGCACAACCCUAGAGUCUGUCAAGACUGGCCCGUACGGGCAGGGGUACCUUUACCUUUAAGGUACUACCGGACAUUUUUAUUUUUUAUUUUGUAUAUAUUUUGUCCAAUUAUAACUUCUCUUUCCUGUCUCUCUAGCAAAUCAUGUAAUCUGAAUAUAGAAAACAUGCUUUGAAUUCUUCAUGUUGGAUAUUUCAUUUUGAACUGAGAAGAAAAACAAGCACCAAAUGUCCAACAAUGCGGUCCUCUACGUAUCUAGCUAAAGUAAAUCUCAUUAAGUUCAUUAAGGCCGAUGACGGCUGCUCCACUGACGCUACUUGGCUCAAGCCCUUUCUUGUCUCAUACACAUUUUAUACUUCCUUGAAUUUAGAGGCAUUUCUGUCAUUCUCCUGCUCUCUGCACCACUCAGCCAUUCCUAAUACAAAAGUAUAGCUCUGGCCAUGAAGUCCUUCCCAUGUGCUUUAAGCAAGAAAAACCAUGUGAAUGAUUGGGCUGCUGGAAAGUCAGCCCUGGUAGGAACGCUCCUACUCCAGCUGUUGUUAUGAGGCUUUCUAGCACACACACUGUAGCAGAUAUGGGAAGAGUCAGAGCUGCUCACAAAGCAGACCAAUGUAGUAGCAGCAUUAGCCUAUCAGAAUACUAUACUGGUUUUGAGCAUAGUCAAAUCUGUUUCACCAAAGGCCAGAGAAGCAACAGUGAGGGUGUCCUACUUUGUUAUUUAGUUCAGUAUUCGAUUUGUUACCUUACAACAGAGCAAGUGAGCAAACAAAGAAACAACAGUGAGUCUCUUUCUAUAAUAAAUACUGUUUAAUCAUUUUGCUGCUUUUAAUUUGGGAACUGGGAGGAGACAUAAGUCAACAGCUUGCAUAUGUGUUGCAAUAAACUGUGUUAACCAUUUCUGUACAUUUACUCCUUAAAAGCUGCAACAGCUACUGGCUGGGCAGGUCAGGUAUUCUGGGCCACAUGCAAUUACAGAGUAUGGAUUUUAGUCUGGUAUGAUGAACUCUACACAUGAACAGAGAUUAUUACUUCACAUUUUGAGGACUGAGCUAUGCAUUGCAAAUGUGUUCUGAUGUGCCCUGGCUCAAAUUGAACAAUCAUUUUUUUCCAUCUAUUGGUUGGAAUACUUUGUUCUUUUAAUGUAUGGGGAAAAGUGUUUUGUAUAAGGAAGUGAAAUGGAUGAUGUUAGGAAAUUGCACGCAAGCCAGAAGCAUGUUUUUCUCACCUCUACAAAGUUUUUGUGUGUCUAGGUGUCUAGGUCUGCGACAGGUAUGUAGGUGCAGACAAUACAUGAAUUCAAAAAUUUAUUUCACAUGGUCUUGGAUGUAGCCAGGAUUUAUGUUGGGGGGGGCAGCCUUCAUGAUAAGGGGGGGCAGAACCUCAGUAUUUUUAUUGAUUUAUUUGAUUGGUUGGCAGCUGCCCCUCUCUCCAGCUAUGCCCA
This 3928-nucleotide long non-coding RNA is filed under the name Podarcis lilfordi (Lilford's wall lizard). Lineage: Eukaryota; Metazoa; Chordata; Lepidosauria; Squamata; Lacertidae. The record is from RNAcentral.